UUGAAAGGGAAACGAUUGAAGUCAGUCGUACCGACGAGAAAUCAACCUAUCGUGUGCGAACUUGUGGGCGUGCGUGAGUUUCGGCCUCGCUGUUUGCAUGUUUGUGCGCUUUGGGUGUACUUUUUCGUAUGGUAGGCCAACGUCAGUUUCGAUUAUCAUAAAAUGACCGGCGGAAUGUAGCUUCGAUUUCGGUUGAAGUGUUAUAGCCUCUGGUAGAUGUGGUGAUUGAGACUGAGGAUUGCAACGAAUACCCUUUGGGCUAUCCGUCUGGCCUCUGAAAGUUGCUCAGGUGCCGAAAGCGUGCUUACGGUCAUCUAAGAUAACGUUCAACAGGUUAGAACGUGAUUACAUUCGUUAAGGAUGUUG
This 366-nucleotide ribosomal RNA is filed under the name uncultured Glomeromycotina. Its description in RNAcentral is "eukaryotic LSU rRNA". Lineage: Eukaryota; Fungi; Glomeromycota. The record is from RNAcentral.